RNAcentral lists this ribosomal RNA (253 nucleotides) under uncultured bacterium. Its description in RNAcentral is "partial 16S ribosomal RNA". It matches the Rfam family "Bacterial small subunit ribosomal RNA", at positions 524 to 776 of the family's 1533-position model. The record is from RNAcentral.
UACGUAGGGUGCAAGCGUUGUCCGGAAUUAUUGGGCGUAAAGAGCUCGUAGGCGGUUUGUCGCGUCUGCUGUGAAAACUCGGGGCUUAACCCCGGGCCUGCAGUGGGUACGGGCAGACUAGAGUGCGGUAGGGGAAACUGGAAUUCCUGGUGUAGCGGUGAAAUGCGCAGAUAUCAGGAGGAACACCGGUGGCGAAGGCGGGUCUCUGGGCCGUAACUGACGCUGAGGAGCGAAAGCGUGGGGAGCGAACAGG